Molecule: ribosomal RNA, 222 nt
Filed under: uncultured bacterium
Lineage: Bacteria
Description: partial 16S ribosomal RNA
Rfam family: Bacterial small subunit ribosomal RNA
Source: RNAcentral
AGUAAUGUAUGGGGAUCUGCCCGAUAGAGGGGGAUAACUACUGGAAACGGUGGCUAAUACCGCAUAAUGUCUACGGACCAAAGCGGGGGCUCUUCGGACCUUGCACUAUCGGAUGAACCCAUAUGGGAUUAGCUAGUAGGUGGGGUAAAGGCUCACCUAGGCGACGAUCUCUAGCUGGUCUGAGAGGAUGAUCAGCCACACUGGGACUGAGACACGGCCCAG